This 65-nucleotide transfer RNA is filed under the name Japananus hyalinus. RNAcentral describes it as "tRNA-Ser". Lineage: Eukaryota; Metazoa; Arthropoda; Insecta; Hemiptera; Cicadellidae. The record is from RNAcentral.
AGUUGUUUAGCUUAUAACUAAAGCAUAUAUUUUGAAAAUAUAAGAAAGAUAAUAUUUAACAACUU